GGGAAUUAUUCUUAAACAGUUAAACUUUGUAUCAUUACUUAUUUAUUCUUUGAAUUUGAUCAACCGCAUUAGACUUAUCACCAGGGUUAUAUUAAUAUGUCACAGAUUAAACAGGAUCUUCUUACCCUUCCGGAGCACAUAAGAGCACCCGGUUUCUGUUUCUUACGUUUUGUAUACUGUUGCUAUCUUUGUUUUUUUCUUGAUUUGCGAUUAUGUUGUCCGUUUAUUUAUUAACUUAUGAGUUUGAAUGACCCUUUUGGUAUUUUUCGCCUCUCUUUUUUUGAGCUAUUAAAUCACAAAACUGAAUUUCUGAUAAAAAAAAAUUCAAUUGGAAAAUGGGGUCUAAAUCAGAU
RNAcentral lists this long non-coding RNA (353 nucleotides) under Mytilus galloprovincialis (Mediterranean mussel). Lineage: Eukaryota; Metazoa; Mollusca; Bivalvia; Mytilida; Mytilidae. The record is from RNAcentral.